RNAcentral lists this non-coding RNA (30 nucleotides) under unclassified sequences. RNAcentral's name for it is "L31-Firmicutes ribosomal protein leader". It matches the Rfam family "L31-Firmicutes ribosomal protein leader". The record is from RNAcentral.
CUAUGACAUUUUAUGUCAUGGCGGAAGGAG